This 520-nucleotide ribosomal RNA is filed under the name uncultured Entrophospora. RNAcentral's name for it is "SSU rRNA". It matches the Rfam family "Eukaryotic small subunit ribosomal RNA", at positions 569 to 1083 of the family's 1831-position model. The record is from RNAcentral. Lineage: Eukaryota; Fungi; Glomeromycota; Glomeromycetes; Entrophosporales; Entrophosporaceae.
AGCAGCCGCGGUAAUUCCAGCUCCAAUAGCGUAUAUUAAAGUUGUUGCAGUUAAAAAGCUCGUAGUUGAAUUUCGGGAUUGACGUGAUGGUCAUGCCUUAAGGGGUAUGAACUGUUACUGUUGAUUUCUCACCUUCUGGAGAAACUUGAUGUCCUUUAUUGGGUGUCUUGCGGAUCCAGGACCUUUACCUUGAAAAAAUUAGAGUGUUUAAAGCAGGCAUUUUUGCUCGAAUACAUUAGCAUGGAAUAAUAGAAUAGGACGGCAUGGUUCUAUUUUGUUGGUUUCUAGGAUCACCGUAAUGAUUAAUAGGGAUAGUUGGGGGCAUUAGUAUUCAAUUGUCAGAGGUGAAAUUCUUGGAUUUAUUGAAGACUAACUACUGUGAAAGCAUUUGCCAAGGAUGUUUUCAUUAAUCAAGAACGAAAGUUAGGGGAUCGAAGACGAUCAGAUACCGUCGUAGUCUUAACCAUAAACUAUGCCGACUAGGAAUCAGACGAUGUUAAUUUUUUAAUGACUCGUUUGG